UAGUGAUUCCUACGGGAGGCAGCAGUGGGGAAUAUUGGACAAUGGGCGAAAGCCUGAUCCAGCAAUGCCGUGUGAGUGAUGAAGGCCUUAGGGUUGUAAAGCUCUUUUACCAGGGAUGAUAAUGACAGUACCUGGAGAAUAAGCUCCGGCUAACUCCGUGCCAGCAGCCGCGGUAAU
RNAcentral lists this ribosomal RNA (177 nucleotides) under uncultured bacterium. RNAcentral describes it as "partial 16S ribosomal RNA". It matches the Rfam family "Bacterial small subunit ribosomal RNA", at positions 330 to 524 of the family's 1533-position model. The record is from RNAcentral.